This 204-nucleotide non-coding RNA is filed under the name uncultured Clostridium sp. Lineage: Bacteria; Bacillati; Bacillota; Clostridia; Eubacteriales; Clostridiaceae. The record is from RNAcentral.
AGAACUGAUAACUCGAAAGGUAGAAUGAGAGAGUAACGCCUUGAAAUGCCUUCCAUAAACUACGAAUAGCGUAUCUGUGAGCAAUAACAGAUAGGUUAUAAGCUCGUUAAAGGCGGCUGAGAUUACACCCUAAUAUAUUAAAAUAUAAUAUAAGGAAAAGCGAACCAGAGGUGGUUGAGUGUAAGAUAGGUCGGUGGUCUAAAA